UGGUAUUCAUUAUUCCGAACUUAAAAAACUAAAGUAGUAAACAGUUAUGUUCUCGAAACUUAAAGGAUUUGGCGGUGUUUUAGUCAGGUUAGAGGAACCUGCCCUGUAAUCGAUAUACCACGAAGUAUCUUACUUCAUCUAGUAAAAGAACAGCUUGUAUACCACCAUUAGCAGAUAUCCUUAAUAAGGUAAUAUCUUAAUAGGUAGAAUUCCUAGUAAAUUAGGUCAAGGUGCGGUCAAUGAUGGAGUUUGAGGUGGGUUACAAUUUCUCUGAAAAUAACGGAUUACGGUUUGAAAAAACUUUAUGAAGGUGGAUUUGAUUGUAAUGUUUGUUUAAUAUGCAAACAUGAUAUUUGCUCUAAAACAUGUA
Molecule: ribosomal RNA, 370 nt
Filed under: Lysmata cf. ternatensis JAB-2013
Lineage: Eukaryota; Metazoa; Arthropoda; Malacostraca; Decapoda; Hippolytidae
Description: partial 12S ribosomal RNA
Source: RNAcentral